UCCACUCUUCUUCUCCACUAAAAAGGGAUACUCCACUAAAGAAUUUCACUCUGAGAUACUCAGUUUAUGGUGAACUGAAAACCUUACAUAGAUUCACUAAGAAUCUAGAUCACUAAGAUCUUAAGAUACUAAGGCUUAGCUAGAGAAGAGAACAGAAUAAGUGUUUGUAGUUGAGUAUCCUCAGAAAAGGAUGGACAUGUUGCUAUUUUGUAGCUCUGUUUCUUGAAUAAUCUUGAGCCUUGUUGAUCAAAUGAAAUCUCUUAAUUUCUUAUUUACUUUGAAACUAGAAGCCCGUUUGAUCAUGUAAAAAGAGAGAGUUUCAGCACUUGAGUAAUGGUUCAAUUGGGUAACAUUUACAAAUGUGCGGUUGAAACCAUUUUAUACACUCAGCUUUAGUUCAUAUGACUUGUCCUUUCUUCUGAAAAGGAUUUGAACUAUCCUUUUACCCUGUGAAUAAUAGUGAUUCUAAGAGUUGGUAGCCAUUGUAUCUUGUGUGAUGUCAAAUGUGUCGAUGCUUAUUGAGCUGCUGAACUCGACUGUUCAUUUGUUCCUCUGCUCAAUUUUUCUGAAAGCUUACUCAACUGUUGUAUAUAUAAGCCUUCAACCUUGCUCUGUUGGUUAACUGAUGACCAACUCUUCUGGUUUGACUCUAAGGUUCACUCUUAUGUAGUCUGUACCCGAACGUUGUCACGCUGCGUCCUAUUCAUCGGAUAGAUGAACUGAAGUACUGAGAGCUUCACACCUCGCUUUCUUUUGAGGAUAGCUGAACAGAAGUAUUGAGAGAUUCACUUUGUGGUCCGUUCACUCUGCAAAUUGUUUAACAACUUCACUCGGUGAAUUUCUUGACACCAUUAUUCUACGAAUCACUCUGCUACUCUGUGAAGUACUUAACAAGUUGACUCUAUGGAUUAUUGACUUGCUUAUCUAAUUCUUCUGUCUGCUAAACUGUUCAGCCGGAACUUAUGAACUCUGCUGACAACUUGUCCCCUCUGUCGUCACCAGAAACCAAUCAAAUAUUAUAAAGAAAACUUUUCAUCCUAUACAUUAGGACUAGUCACUCUACAGAUCCACCUAUACAUUUCACUCUACAAAUCAGCUAAAACAACUCACUUACAAGUUACAACUUGGAAUGGCACGCUUUAAUAGAAUUGAGGUCUUACAUCAGUUAAUAAUCUAUAAGCUUACAUCACCGAAUCAAAUACAAAUAUGAAUUAACAAAGACCACACCAAAGACCGCAUGAAAUAUUUUCCAAAUAAAUGCCACUUAAAAGGAAUUUCAACACACUAAAUGCUCUUCAUAGGAAAAACUAAGCAUACCAUCGCCAUCCAACAGUUCAUAAAACAAUCAGAUCCCGAAAUUGACACUCUUGUCAACUUUCGUACCUGACACUCCUACUAAUUCAGCUCAUAAAACAAUCCCAAAAUUUUCACUUUUGCCAACGUUCAAUGAGUCAUACACUCCUAUUGUUUGGAAGUAAUAGAUCUAAGCACCCAUCUCACAUGCUUGACUGCAUUUAUGAAUGUUGUUCCACUCAACAUUGAUUAAUCAGCUCUUGAAGUCGUCACUCCACUUGCCAAUGACUAUUAGUUUGGUAGUUGUCAACUUGUCGCGACUGCAACUGCCUUUGCUAGCCAAAAUGCUCCCAGCACCUAUCUAAGAUUCUCAAUCCAUGCUAUGACGGCUUAGUAUUUAUCAGACCAUUGUUCAAAGUAGAUUGAGCUCAAUCGAAGCAUGGGCAGGUCUCGAAUCAAUGCUAAAAAAAUUGACAUGCCUGAACAUCAAGUGCCAACAUUGAUGGGAUCAAAUAUAAGUGCAAGCCUUCCAUAUGAAAUCCAUCAUACUAGUGUGCAAUGCCAUAUGUAGGGCCCACCAUCAAGAAAGAUUAGACACUUCAAGAAACUUAACCAACAUUCCAUUGGUAUGUUUAAUAACUGGUAACAUAGGACAAUGAUGUGCGUCUCAAAAACAGUGCCCUCAGGUCCAAACAAAUAUGCUACAACGUAGUCAUUGAUUUAAUCAAUGUAACUCUCUAAAUAACAAGCCAAAAGUAUCAAGCGUCAGCGUAUUGUCCAACUAGAAAGGACGAUCAUGUAUAUGAAGUAUCUCAUCAUAGCUUCAUAAUAAGCUCAAAGUUGGUCACAGUGGAAAAGGUGCACAAUGCCAGUUCCCUAGUUUCGAAGAAGAUUGACCAGUUUUAAGAACUCAUGCAACAGAAACUGGGUGAUUUUAACAAGGGGUUGCACAAGAUGAUCCCAUGUGUCUCAAAGACCAUCUCAUGUUGUCAACGAGAACGCAUCCAUCUACACAUGUAAAAGACCAAAAAAGAAAAACAAUCAACCAACAAUAACAUGUAUUGUGAUAUACUAGAUGCCUAAAUUUAUGGAAGAGACUUGCAUAUUUAUCAAAUAUUAAGGUUGUCAAACCAUUUAUUACCAUUUCAUUAAAUCAUCAGCCACAAAGUGUGGCAUCAAUAAAUACACCUGAUAGAUCUCAAUAUCUAGUCUACAAAUUUAAGACAUAAAAAGGCACAUUAGGAUUUAGGACAUCCAAAAUUACAGUCUUCCUUUUGUUAUAACAUCAAGGAACUUGUCAGUAUUCCUAUGAAGAAUUCUAUUAUCCGCCAAAAUCUCCAACACUAACAUAGUGCAAAAGUUCCUAUAUCGUCCAUUAGUGUCUUAAUAGUGAAAGUUCAGCCAUAGAAUUCCAAAAGAAGUGACUCAAUCAUAGAGAGACAUACUUAGGAUUCCGACGUAAUUUAUACUGUUCAUCAUUUCAAAAAAUGUUCACUUCAAAGUCUGUAAUCAUCAUAAAUCUAUCUCCAGCAAUGAAGGCAUGCAUAGCUGAUCCCCAAAAAGAUCUUAUCCCAAGUGAAUUGAUCCCUUAUUUGGGACCCUCUUAUUUGUGAGGAGUUGACGGGGAACAUUGAAUAGUUUCAAACCUUUAAACACUUCUUCAAUAAGUGACAUAAUGCACCCACGCCGCGACAAAGAGUACGUGUUACUGCUCUACCUUACAGCUACUGAUCAUUUAAAAAUUCAACCCUCAGUUACAACAUCUUCCAUGUAGUGCACUAUCUAUUCGUUGGAGCAUAAACAUGUACCAAUUAGCAUAUACAUCCGUACAAAGAAACAUAACACAUUUAUUCACAAGGACCAAAAUCUCCAUUAUUCCCCUCAGUUAACUUUCUCAAACUACUUUUAUUACCAAAAAAACUAGAUAUCACAAACACCUUCCAAAUAGACUUUUAUAUGGAGAUAUAAUAACCAUUCCACACAAUCAAAUCCUACAGAGGCAGAUUUCACCACCACGAACUAGAAGCAGUCAACCAAUCAAUUCAAGCUAACCUUAUCCAACUAUCCAAUUCAACAACCAUUAAUACAAAACUUACCGAUCAACCUUGAUUAUCAUAGAAAAACAAAAAACCGCCAAAAGUUCAAAUUUUCGAAUCUUUAACAACAAUGCUCAUUCAUUUCAAAUUAACCCUAAUUUCUUUUCUUCUUUUUUCUCGGUUAGGAAAACUGAAUUUUAUAACCAAAAAAAGAACUAGACAUCACAAACACCUUCCAAAUAGACUUUUUUAUAUACAGAUAUAGUUAUUAUUCCACACAAGUGAAUCCUACCACUGCAGUCAAUCAAUUCAAGUUAACCUUAUCCAACUACCCACCGAUCAACCUAGCUUAGAUACAUACAAAAACAAGAAACAAUGAAAAUUCAAAUUUUUGAAUCUUUAACAACAAUGCUCGUACAUUUCAAGUUAAGCUUAUCCAAUCACCCAAAUCAAAAUACAAACCUUCCACAACUAGCAUAUCAUAGAAGAACAAAAAUAACCAAAAUUCAAUCGUUAAAAUCUUUAACAACAAUUCUCGUUCAUUUCUACCUUUUUCAUACCUUUUCCCGGAGAAACAAACACUUAAAUCAAACUAAUAGGAAAUCAUAAGAAUUAUACGGAACGAUAAGAAUAAAAAACCUAAUUUCGAGCGCUGGAAAAUUACCUCAGAGCAAAGCGAAGUGAGAGAAUUGCAUAGAAGCUCUGUAAUCAGCCGAAAGUGUACGGUCGGAAUCAAGUUUUCCGGCACCGGCAGGAAGAAUUUUGUCUGGCAAUUCAAUUGUGCAGUGGUGGAGUAUUUGGAAUGUGAAUUGUUAGAACUGGAG
RNAcentral lists this long non-coding RNA (4153 nucleotides) under Panax ginseng (ginseng). RNAcentral's name for it is "long non-coding RNA (PGIN_LNC018362)". The record is from RNAcentral. Lineage: Eukaryota; Viridiplantae; Streptophyta; Magnoliopsida; Apiales; Araliaceae.